UCCAAUCUACUGUUCCCAAAAAAUACUUAACAGAGAAUGUCUUCUCUACCCAGCACUUUUGACCAUCCAAUACUUUUCAGUUUCAGAGAAGUUUACAAUCUAACAUCUGAGAGAUGAACAUAUACUCAUGACUCAAGAUGGCCAGAUCAAUUCCAUUGGGGUGAAUAAAAUAAGGCACUGUGGAGUUCAACCACAGAGAAGGCAAACAGCUGGCUUCUAUCUAGGACGGUGUUUAUUCAUUAUUUCACAAGUCUGUUUUCUCCUUUGCCCUGCUCUGUGCUGGGACAGACUGCUUCUCUGGGUUCAUCUGUUUGACUCUCUGCUUCUAGUUCAAACAGCAGAAGCCACCUGCAGAAGACAAAAAUAUGAAAGGAGUAAGGGUUUGGGUGCUUAUCCUGCCUGACUCCGCUUUAACACAGGUCUGAUGUUGAUGUGCUUCUCUGUAGCCACAGACCCUGUGGAGACGCAGCCCUUCCACAGCUCCAAGGUUACCAGGCUUCAGCAGAAACCCUGCCAGUCCUUGCUCCUUCAGGCCUGAGGAUAUAAGUGGCCUCCUCUGUUCCCCUAUUUUAACACUUCUAUGAAUAGCCCUUUUAUUAAACUCCUCUCUGAGAAAUC
Molecule: non-coding RNA, 618 nt
Organism: Ictidomys tridecemlineatus (thirteen-lined ground squirrel)
Lineage: Eukaryota; Metazoa; Chordata; Mammalia; Rodentia; Sciuridae
Source: RefSeq, a predicted model, not a curated record